CCAUAACGAGGAAUGAAAUACACCUGCUGUGACACAGACAAACCUUGAAAACAUUACGCCAGGUGAAAGAAGCCAGACAAAAGAGACUACAUAUUCUGUGAUUCCAUUAGUAUGAAGUGUCCAGAAUAGGCAAAUACCUAGAGAUGACCGGAGUUUGGGGGGGCCGAGGAAAUGUGGAGUAACUGCUUAAUGGGUAGGGGCUUUCCUUUGGGGGUGAUGAAAAAGUUCUGGAACUAAGUGAUAUGGUUAAAUUGUAGAUGUAUUUAAUGCCACUAAAUUGGGUACUUUAAAAUGGUUAGAGUGGUUAAGUUUUGUAUCUAUUUUAUCAUAAUUUUUAAUAAAAAAAAGGAGAAAGAAGAGGGGAGCUCAUCACCUGGCUGGUUUUCCAUCCCUCUCCUGUCAGUCUGCUCAUCUCCACCUUGUGAUCAGUAUGAAAGGUCCGUGACCACGCUGGGGUCUUCGACACUCCCAUGCGCACAGGUACACCCAGUUUUCUGUCCCCUUCAUCAGAGGGUAGAGAUGGGUGGAGGGUCUCUGGCCAGCGUCUCCAGAGCCUAUUACAGAAAACCCUCAUGAAUGAGGCGGGGCCACCCCUGUCCCUCAUCCUGGCUCUAGGGAAGCAAGCCCUUUUGGAAGGCGGGGACCUUCUCCAGGCGCCAGGUCACCUCAUGUGCUCCAGGCUGCUUGCCCCUUCUCCGGCUCUCAUUUCUUUUCCCCAAGGGUCUCAGAGCUUCUCUGCUUCACUUGCUCACAGCUCUUUGAGUUGAAUAAUUGUCUCUACUUUCCUCACAAUCAGAAACACUCCCUUUGAGUCGC
RNAcentral lists this long non-coding RNA (816 nucleotides) under Lynx pardinus (Iberian lynx). Lineage: Eukaryota; Metazoa; Chordata; Mammalia; Carnivora; Felidae. The record is from RNAcentral.